GUAGGGAAUAUUGGGCAAUGGAUGCAAGUCUGACCCAGCCAUGCCGCGUGCAGGAAGAAGGUCCUCUGGAUUGUAAACUGCUUUUUUGGGGGAAGAAUAGUUUUCUUGCGAGGAAAUGUGACGGUACCCUAAGAAUAAGCCACGGCUAACUACGUGCCAGCAGCCGCGGUAAUACGUAGGUGGCAAGCGUUGUCCGGAUUUAUUGGGUUUAAAGGGUGCGUAGGUGGUUUGUUAAGUGAGUGGUGAAAGCCGGUUGCUCAACAAUCGAGUUGCCAUUGAUACUGUCGGACUUGAGAGAAGUGGAGGUUCAUGGAAUGGAUGGUGUAGCGGUGAAAUGCAUAGAUAUCAUCCAGAACGUCGAUUGCGAAGGCAGUGGGCUGUACUUUAUCUGACACUGAGGCACGAAAGUGUGGGGAUCAAACAGGAUUAGAAACCCCUGUAGUCC
This 445-nucleotide ribosomal RNA is filed under the name uncultured bacterium. RNAcentral describes it as "partial 16S ribosomal RNA". It matches the Rfam family "Bacterial small subunit ribosomal RNA", at positions 354 to 796 of the family's 1533-position model. The record is from RNAcentral.